This 306-nucleotide ribosomal RNA is filed under the name uncultured bacterium. Its description in RNAcentral is "partial 16S ribosomal RNA". It matches the Rfam family "Bacterial small subunit ribosomal RNA", at positions 507 to 809 of the family's 1533-position model. The record is from RNAcentral.
GACAGCAGCCGCCGCGGUAAUACAGAGGGUGCGAGCGUUAAUCGGAUUUACUGGGCGUAAAGCGUGCGUAGGCGGCUAAUUGAGUCGGAUGUGAAAUCCCCGAGCUUAACUUGGGAAUUGCAUUCGAUACUGGUUAGCUAGAGUGUGGGAGAGGAUGGUAGAAUUCCAGGUGUAGCGGUGAAAUGCGUAGAGAUCUGGAGGAAUACCGAUGGCGAAGGCAGCCAUCUGGCCUAACACUGACGCUGAGGUACGAAAGCAUGGGGAGCAAACAGGAUUAGAUACCCCUGUAGUCCCUGUCUCUUAUAA